RNAcentral lists this non-coding RNA (70 nucleotides) under Candidatus Rokuibacteriota. RNAcentral describes it as "Candidatus Rokubacteria Fluoride sequence". It matches the Rfam family "Fluoride riboswitch aptamer (crcB RNA motif)". The record is from RNAcentral.
GACGAAAAAGGCGAUGGGGUUCGCCUGAAACCGCCUCACCGACCGUGAGGCUGAUGACCCCUACCGGCAG